UGCGAAUGUCGAUCUGUAUCAAUUCUAUUCGUGAGGAACUUAUAUAUGUGUUACCAGUGAUUAAGUGAAUACCUUUGCUGAAAAAUGGGUGCCUACCUUGGAUUUUGCUUCAUCUUGAUAUGCUUGACGGGAUUGAAGUAUACUGAUGCUUUUGAAACGUGCUUUCCCACUGUGGACUGUGGAUUUAAUAUUGAUGGUUGCUUUUCUUUCUGUGUUGGGAAAUUCUGUGCAGGAUCAUCGAGGUGUGUCGGAAACAACCAGUGCUGUUGUGGUGGUUGUGUUGGAUAAACACAAGGGAAACUAAGAACAAAAAGGAUCUUAACCAACACAUGAUAGACCAUACACGUUUGAAAUUGAUAAUGGAUAUAUUUAGAUAGUGAAUAAAUGAAAAUACAAACAACAAAA
Molecule: long non-coding RNA, 405 nt
Organism: Mytilus californianus (California mussel)
Lineage: Eukaryota; Metazoa; Mollusca; Bivalvia; Mytilida; Mytilidae
Exons: 3
Source: RefSeq, a predicted model, not a curated record